UACGUAGGGUGCAAGCGUUGUCCGGAAUUAUUGGGCGUAAAGAGCUCGUAGGCGGUCUGUCGCAUCGGCUGUGAAAACCCGAGGCUCAACCUCGGGCCUGCAGUCGAUACGGGCAAACUAGAGUACUGCAGGGGAGACUGGAAUUCCUGGUGUAGCGGUGAAAUGCGCAGAUAUCAGGAGGAACACCGGUGGCGAAGGCGGGUCUCUGGGCAGUAACUGACGCUGAGGAGCGAAAGCGUGGGGAGCGAACAGG
RNAcentral lists this ribosomal RNA (253 nucleotides) under uncultured bacterium. RNAcentral describes it as "partial 16S ribosomal RNA". It matches the Rfam family "Bacterial small subunit ribosomal RNA", at positions 524 to 776 of the family's 1533-position model. The record is from RNAcentral.